Molecule: unclassified non-coding RNA, 545 nt
Filed under: Hevea brasiliensis (rubber tree)
Lineage: Eukaryota; Viridiplantae; Streptophyta; Magnoliopsida; Malpighiales; Euphorbiaceae
Source: RNAcentral
UUGGUUCAAGUCUACAUAUCAAUUGGUGGAUCUAGUGAAUUAUUUUAUGAUCAAAUGAUGCAUUUUGGCAUAAAAGGUAGAGGUGUGCAAGAUUUUUUUUCAAUCUAGUUUGGAGAGAAUUUUUUUAACUGAAUCAGACUUUUAAAUAUGAUCUGAACAAAAAUAAACAUAUAUCUUCAAAUUUGUUUGACUUGGCAUAUAUUCCAUUAAAAACUCGGGGCGCUUCCUACACGAGUCACAGAGGAGAAAUUUUUCUAUCUUUCUAGGUGGAUUUCAGGUUGUGGUUUCUUUUAACUAGCACCUUCUAGCUCUGCAUUUAUAAAUUACCAAGAGCACUAAUAUAUAAUGUCUUAGCAGCCAAAAGGGCCAGUAAUACAAAUUUGAUGUGCUAUUGUAUAUAUUCAUUGGCUAGUGCCAUGAUUUUAGUAGUACUCCAGAACCUGAAAAUUAAAGGCAGUAAUUUUAUGUGCAUCUGUGUGUUUUUGUUCCUUAGAUGAUGGUCAUGAUGCAAUUUGAUUUUUUAUUUUGCAGCUAACAAUUUGGAG